CUUGGUGACCAUAGCAAGCGUGAACCACCCGAUCCCAUCCCGAACUCGGAAGUGAAACCGCUUAGCGCCGAUGAUAGUGUGGCAGGUUGCCAUGUGAAAGUAGGUCAUCGCMAAGC
Molecule: ribosomal RNA, 116 nt
Filed under: Methylomonas rubra
Lineage: Bacteria; Pseudomonadati; Pseudomonadota; Gammaproteobacteria; Methylococcales; Methylococcaceae
Source: RNAcentral